CGAACGCUGGCGGCGUGCUUAACACAUGCAAGUCGAACGGAAAGGCCCUGCUUUUGUGGGGUGCUCGAGUGGCGAACGGGUGAGUAACACGUGAGUAACCUGCCCCUGACUUUGGGAUAACUUCAGGAAACUGGGGCUAAUACCGGAUAGGAGCUCCUGCUGCAUGGUGGGGGUUGGAAAGUUUCGGCGGUUGGGGAUGGACUCGCGGCUUAUCAGCUUGUUGGUGGGGUAGUGGCUUACCAAGGCUUUGACGGGUAGCCGGCCUGAGAGGGUGACCGGCCACAUUGGGACUGAGAUACGGCCCAGACUCCUACGGGAGGCAGCAGUGGGGAAUAUUGCACAAUGGGCGGAAGCCUGAUGCAGCAACGCCGCGUGCGGGAUGACGGCCUUCGGGUUGUAAACCGCUUUCGCCUGUGACGAAGCGUGAGUGACGGUAAUGGGUAAAGAAGCACCGGCUAACUACGUG
This 466-nucleotide ribosomal RNA is filed under the name uncultured bacterium. RNAcentral's name for it is "partial 16S ribosomal RNA". It matches the Rfam family "Bacterial small subunit ribosomal RNA", at positions 30 to 507 of the family's 1533-position model. The record is from RNAcentral.